Molecule: long non-coding RNA, 528 nt
Filed under: Homo sapiens (human)
Lineage: Eukaryota; Metazoa; Chordata; Mammalia; Primates; Hominidae
Description: prostate cancer associated transcript 1
Source: RNAcentral
AACGGUAACAUCCCUACCCUUAGUACAAAAGAUCCAGCCACCUCUUGGGAUGCACACGUUUCUCUUCAACUGCGUGAUGUGAACUGCGUCACAUGAUCACCAUCUACCCCUAUAACCACCAGCCCCAACCCAGGCUCACUGAAUUGGAAUUUCUGAAGGAUUCACUGAAGCUGUAAAACCAAGAUGAAGGCAAGGUUAAGAUUCUUCUGUAAGCUACCUUCUAGCAAAGAUGCUGUUCAGAUGACCAAUGUGCACUGCUGCACUGAGGAGCCCCUACCUAGCAUUUCAACAGCCUCCACUUUUAAUUAUUAUACUAACAUUUUGUCAACUGUCAAAUGCUUGGAAAUCAUUUAAUAUCUUCCCAUUUCUAUGCAACACAGUUAUUGAUAUUCAUGAAGUGAAUUCCUUCAGCAGUGUCUAGACUAAAUGUCAAUAGGGUCUGCUGAGGGAAAUACUUUUCACAGAGGGAGGGUAUUAAUAAUGGAAUUUAGAAAUUAUUUUUAAUUUGCUUUAAUAAAGGAUUAGAUG